UUUGUCAAUGUCCUUAUACCAUGGAAGUCCUGGUGAAUUAUCACAUACUCCUAAUGUGCUGAGAAAUACCACUUUCAGGACACUGAGAUAUAAAACCACUUAAAAGCGUUGAAGAAGGAAGGAUUCAUGAAUUCUAUAACUGUAAGAGAAUGAGUUCUGCCAAAAAUCUAAGGGAGCUUGAAAGCAUAUCUUUCCUUAGUUCAGCCUCUGCAUGAGAACCCAGCUUUGCCUGACACCUUGAUUGCAGCCUUGAUAAGACCGUAAGAAAGACCGUAAGAAAACCCAAGCAGAUGUGCCUAUAGACUCCUCACCCACAACUGCGAUAUCACAGAUGUGUCCAGACUUCUUACCCACAACUGCGAUAUCACAGAUGUGUCGAGACUCCCUACCCACAACUGCAAUAUCACAGAUAUGUCGAGACUCCCUACCCACAACUGCAGUAUCACUGAUGUGUCGAGACUCCCUACCCACACCUGCGAUAUCACAGAUGUGUCGAGACUCCCUACCCACAACUGCGAUAUCACAGAUGUGUCGAGACUCCCUACCCACAACUGCGAUAUCACAGAUGUGUCGAGACUCC
This 580-nucleotide long non-coding RNA is filed under the name Homo sapiens (human). Its description in RNAcentral is "non-protein coding lnc-ST8SIA4-5:1". The record is from RNAcentral. Lineage: Eukaryota; Metazoa; Chordata; Mammalia; Primates; Hominidae.